RNAcentral lists this ribosomal RNA (652 nucleotides) under uncultured bacterium. RNAcentral describes it as "bacterial SSU rRNA". It matches the Rfam family "Bacterial small subunit ribosomal RNA", at positions 222 to 863 of the family's 1533-position model. The record is from RNAcentral.
GGGAUGAGUCCGCGUUCCAUUAGCUUGUUGGUGAGGUAACGGCUCACCAAGGCUGCGAUGGAUAGCCGGCCUGAGAGGGUGAACGCCCACACUGGGACUGAGAUACGGCCCAGACUCCUACGGGAGGCAGCAGUAGGGAAUAUUGCGCAAUGGACGAAAGUCUGACGCAGCAACGCCGCGUGGGUGAUGAAGCAUCUUGGUGCGUAAAACCCUGUCAGUGGGGAAGAACCGUGCAGAUAGUAACUGCUCUGCACCUGACGGUACCCACAGAGGAAGUCCCGGCUAACUCCGUGCCAGCAGCCGCGGUAAUACGGGGGGGACAAGCGUUGUUCGGAUUUACUGGGCGUAAAGGGCGCGUAGGUGGACCUUCAAGUCGGUUGUGAAAACUGGUGGCUUAACUGCCAGCCUGCACUCGAAACUGUCGGUCUUGAGUACAUGAGAGGAAAGCGGAAUUCCAGGUGUAGCGGUGAAAUGCGUAGAUAUCUGGAAGAACACCAGUAGCGAAGGCGGCUUUCUGGCGUGAUACUGACACUGAAGCGCGAAGGCUAGGGGAGCAAACAGGAUUAGAUACCCUGGUAGUCCUAGCGGUAAACGAUGGGUACUAGGUGUCGGGGGAACAUUGACCCCCUCGGUGCCGAAGCUAACGCAUUAA